GAGUUUGAUCGUGGCUCAGAUUGAACGCUGGCGGCAUGCCUUACACAUGCAAGUCGAACGGCAGCACGGGAGCUUGCUCCUGGUGGCGAGUGGCGAACGGGUGAGUAAUGCAUCGGAACGUAUCCUGGAGUGGGGGAUAACGUAGCGAAAGUUACGCUAAUACCGCAUAUUCUGUGAGCAGGAAAGCGGGGGGACCUUCGGGCCUCGCGCUCUUGGAGCGGCCGAUGUCGGAUUAGCUAGUUGGUGAGGUAAAGGCUCACCAAGGCGACGAUCCGUAGCAGGUCUGAGAGGAUGAUCUGCCACACUGGAACUGAGACACGGUCCAGACUCCUACGGGAGGCAGCAGUGGGGAAUUUUGGACAAUGGGGGGCAACCCUGAUCCAGCCAUGCCGCGUGAGUGAAGAAGGCCUUC
RNAcentral lists this ribosomal RNA (412 nucleotides) under bacterium enrichment culture clone ALO1_GLFRUDD03FKKB0. RNAcentral's name for it is "bacterial SSU rRNA". It matches the Rfam family "Bacterial small subunit ribosomal RNA", at positions 9 to 419 of the family's 1533-position model. The record is from RNAcentral.